This 567-nucleotide ribosomal RNA is filed under the name uncultured archaeon. RNAcentral's name for it is "bacterial SSU rRNA". It matches the Rfam family "Archaeal small subunit ribosomal RNA", at positions 326 to 897 of the family's 1478-position model. The record is from RNAcentral.
CGGGGUGCAGCAGGCGCGAAAACUCUACAAUGCAGGCAACUGCGAUAGGGGAACAUCGAGUGAUACUCAUCUUGGGUGUCUGUCCUCCCGUCUAAAAAACGGGAGUUAGCAAGGGCCGGGCAAGACCGGUGCCAGCCGCCGCGGUAAUACCGGCGGCUCGAGUGGUGGCCGAUAUUAUUGAGUCUAAAGGGUCCGUAGCCGGCUUUGCAAGUCUUUUGGGAAAUCCAGCGGCUUAACCGUUGGUCGUCCGGGAGAUACUACAUUGCUUGGGACUGGGAGAGGUAGGAGGUACUCAGGGGGUAGGAGUGAAAUCCUGUAAUCCUUUGGGGACCACCGGUGGCGAAGGCGUCCUACCAGAACAGGUCCGACGGUGAGGGACGAAAGCUAGGGGCACGAACCGGAUUAGAUACCCGGGUAGCCCUAGCCGUAAACGAUGCUCGCUAGGUGUCACAACAAUCGUGAAUUGUUGUGGUGCCGUAGGGAAGCCGUGAAGCGAGCCACUUGGGAAGUACGACCGCAAGGUUGAAACUUAAAGGAAUUGGCGGGGGAGCACAAGGGCGAUUCGCG